CAGGAGGCCGGCCAGCAGUGAGAGGUCCCGCAUCCACUGAGGUGAACAACAGUGCCGUGGGAUGUUAAUGUGGGUAAGUCUCAUCCAAUCCUUUGAAGGCCUGAAGAACAAAGAGUGAGGUUUCUGGAAGAAGAAAAUUUUACCUCAAGCCUGCAAUGUAGAAAUUCUGCUUGAGUUUCCCGCCUGCUGGCCUGCCCUGUGGAAUUCGGAGUCAAGAAGGAGUCUUGUAAGCAUUAACUGAGAUAGUAUAUGAAGAGUGCUUUUGCACCGAGUGAACCUUCAAUCAACUGUACUAGUUUGUAUGCCUGGAAGAGCUGCUAUAUGGGAUCAGAAAGAAAAAUAAGGUGCAUACGCCAGAAAAAAAAUACUUGCAUAUGAGUACUAGGAGAUGCAUGACAAUGUUCACGGCAGCAGUAUUCAUGGCAGUGAAAAAUGAAAAGAACUGAAAUGCCCAUUGAUAAAAACGUCUACUUAUUUGUGUCAUCUUUGCACAGUGGAAUUGUGCGAGUGGAAAUGAUUGAUCUACAGCUAGGAGAAGCAGCAGAGCUCAAUCUCAAAAACAUAACGUUGUGUGGAAAAAGCUAACCUCAGAACACUUUGCGGCUCUAUCUUAGCAAACCAGGAGAGAAAUUCUCCUGAUGGCCUUGAAGAAGCAAACAGCCACCUGGUUAAGCCCCUGUGGAUAGUGCCAAGUGGCAGGAAAGUGGGAGCCACCUCUAGGACCUGAGGAUUAAAGUCAGUAAGAGCUGGGACCUCACUCAUGCAGACUCGAGGACAUGAAUUCGACCAACAACUUGAAUGAGCUUGGAAGUGGAUUCUUCCCUAGUCCAGUCUUCAGAAAUUAAGAAUGUUCCCAAAGAAUGAUGGAGACAUUUCAAAAGGAUACGGAAGCCAGAUUGUGGGCGCUUCUACUGGCCAACUCUGGGACAUCGUGGACAUCAAAAUAAAUUUGUAAUAAUAAAGGAUUAUAGCCUAUUAGUUAAAUCAGAAAAAUCUGAUUUAACUAAAUGAGUAGGAGGAAAAGAAAGCUCUUCCUUAUAUUAGAAAGUCAAUUAAUAAAUGCAGAAAGGAAUGAAAAAAUUAGAAAAGCCACCAUUUGGCAACCAUGGCAGGCAGAAUGGGGAGUAUGCCUCCAGACAGUAAUUCCUUUCAAACUGGUUUAUAGGAACUCACUGAGCUUGCUGAUCGACCUCUGAGAGGCAAAGUUUCUGAAUUAUGAAGUACUGAUUAUAUAAACUUAGACAGAGACAUGCUUCAUUAUUUAAUAGGACUGUGUCAAAAGCCUACUAUUAGGAUGAUGUGUUGGGUGUGGAACAGGGUCUCUUCCUGCCAGGAACACUGGUGAUUUCACUCCGUGUUCAGGCUGAUCUUUGAAGUUGAAGACAAGCAGAAGAAUCCUUCUAAAAUUUAGCCAUGCCCAUAGGCUGGGAGGGACACUGCUCCAUUCAGAGGCAGCAAAGCACAUUACUGUAUCUCCUAUAGAGCUUUGAGCAGUCCAGUGUACAUGGAGAAACUUAGUAAAUGUUGUUGAAUUAGUGAAUGAACAAAUCAAUGGACCAAGUCAGGGGUAAGUCUUACAUUUGUCAUCUAGGUGAUUAAGAAAGGAAAAAGUAUCUGUUUCAAGAGGAUUACAAUCUAACUGUACUCCAAUAGUAAAAUUUACUCUUUUGGAAUCUGA
Molecule: long non-coding RNA, 1678 nt
Filed under: Homo sapiens (human)
Lineage: Eukaryota; Metazoa; Chordata; Mammalia; Primates; Hominidae
Description: HSALNT0308967
Source: RNAcentral